This 561-nucleotide long non-coding RNA is filed under the name Brassica napus (rape). Its description in RNAcentral is "long non-coding RNA (BNAP_LNC002789)". Lineage: Eukaryota; Viridiplantae; Streptophyta; Magnoliopsida; Brassicales; Brassicaceae. The record is from RNAcentral.
GUCUGGAUGGGUAGCUGACAAAAAAAAAAAAGUGAAAAACUUGAAUUGAUGGGUGGCUAAAGGAAAGGUAAAGAUGUCUGAAUUGGGCCAGAGAUAGCAGAAUGAGAGAGAGGGACUUGGUCAGAGUCAGCCUCAGGGAUAGGGAAGAGUGACACAUGACACUCAUAUACGACCAACCAACACUGCUUUACAAUAAUGAUAAGAACAAAUAAUGUAGACGAUAGAGGGAAGGAGCGAGAGAAUAUAGUAAGAAAUUAAAAGGGAGUUUUGGCUAGGAAAUUAGAGAAUUGUUAUGUUCUAAGCUUUGACGUUAAACAUGAGAUUCUGAGGUACCUUUUAAUAAGAAAACUAAUACAUAAACACUCAUUUUCGUUGACACUAAUCUAGUAUCUGGGGUCCUCGUUAGCUAAAUGAAGUUGAACUAAAAAAAAAAAAAAGUUGAACUAUAAGUUUAGUCAUGACCCAUCUAAUCGGAUAUCAGUAUUAGGCUUCUCAAAAUGUGUUCUUAGUUUGCGGGUGUUUUAAUCUGGUUGUAGAUAAUGGGCUGAGUUCAUAAAUCUC